RNAcentral lists this long non-coding RNA (217 nucleotides) under Olea europaea (common olive). Its description in RNAcentral is "long non-coding RNA (OEUR_LNC014560)". Lineage: Eukaryota; Viridiplantae; Streptophyta; Magnoliopsida; Lamiales; Oleaceae. The record is from RNAcentral.
GACCAAAGCAUAAUCAUUACCAUUGGACCUCGGCUUCUUCACACCCAUUCAGCAUUCAAGCCUCGCAGGUUCGGUUUCCCAACCACCUCGGCUUCUUCAGAUGCCAUUCAGCAUUCAAGCCUUGCAGGUUCGGUUCCUCACACCACCUCGGCUUCUUCACACCCAUUCAGCAUUCAAGCCUCGCAGGUUCGGUUUCCCAACCACCUCUGCUUCUUCA